CUCCCGGAAGGGGUCCCGAAUGUCCCCAAAGUUCCCAUGGGGUCCCCCAAAGGGUCCUUGGUGUCCCCAAAAUGUCCCCUGUGAUAAGAAACAGAAGUCCCUUUUUGUUCACUGUCCGUAUAAGGUUAAGAACAAUGUAAAUAAGUAACCGCAGCUAUGCUUAAAGAAAUGGUUUACGUAAGUGAAACUAGUUAUAAGGAACAAAUAGUGUUGCAAUCAGUACUUAUAAGGUUGCGUAAGAACUUUUUGCAGCCCAAGUCAAGAAGAAGACACUGAGGAAGACUCGCGAGGGCCUUCAUCAACGACCACCAGAAGGUAGAAAACGAACCCCUAUCAACUGCCGGAGCACGCGCGAUAAGCACCAAGAGGAUGACUCAAGAAGAAGAGCGGGUGCUUAAAAAGAGAACUGAAAACCGCGGUCGGCGCGGCAGUUGGUGGAGCGGUGACUCCCCUGUCGCCCAGCGCUGCAUUUUGCUUUUCUUUCCAAUAAAUUGCUAUUUUAAUUGGCUAAAAUGGCCCGUUGUGCUCAUUGAUAACAAUUUGGUGCCGUGACUCGGAUCGGUGAUAGGGGUGAUUUUCUACCCGUGAGGGGGGCGCCCCACCAUUUUGGUGGCCCUCGGGGUUAGGAGGUCGCCCUACUCCCGACCGACGAACCUAAAAUUAAGGAAAGGAAAGCAAAGGGAAUUGAGGGCCCAGGGAACCCCUUAAAAGCUUUGUGCACAAGGUCCGGACGAAGACGCAGGACGCGUGCAGCCGGGAGAUUGGGUCCUGGUCCGGAGCUGGAAAGAGAACCCGUUAACCCCGAAGUGGGAGAGACCGUAUUUAGUACUACUCACCACUGAUACGGCAGUACGAACAGCAGAGAAAGGAUGGACUCAUGCUAGUCGAAUAAAAGGACCCAUAAAUCCAUCAGAAUUCUCCAAAAACAAGGAUCCUCAGUGGAAUAUCAAAGGAACACCUGGAGAUUUGAAGUUUACUUUAACAAGGACUUUAUCCUAAAUGGACGCUGGGGACAUUUGGGUAGGGGAUAAUUGAGUGUUGCAGAAAGAACUGAUUGGAACUUCAGAACCACCUGGAUAUUGUGAAUAUUUAGAAAAACUUACCCAACAACCCUACUAUCGAGAAAUAAGAUUAAUAAAUAAAGAUAAGUUAUAUAAUGGGGAAGAAAAUGUUGAUCACAAUAAUAUAAGAAUAGUUUGUAGUUGGUUAGAUUGUAAUUGUUAUCCAUUUAUAUGUUUUUGUUGUAAAAUCUGUAAAGAGUUGUGGUGGGUUCAUUGCCGAAGAGGGCGGGCUCCUAGAAGUGUGUGUCAACCCUGUUGGGGGGAACAGCGCGAGCUGACUGCCCUGGCCCUAAGUCAGAAAGUAGCAGCUCGAGAGCUUAAAGUGGGAUCCCCAUCCUGGUGGCAAAUAUUUUCUAAAGGUAUAAACCCCGAACUUUGUUGUUAUCACUCUAACGAGCCUGUGGGACCGUAUAACACGGAUAUUGUGAAGGCGGAGUGCCGAAAACAAGUAAAAGGAUUGAGGUGUGACACCCCACCAGUAAAGGACAAAAAUUGGCAUGCCACAAGAAGAAAGUGGAGGAGGGGAGCAAGCUCUACCCCUGAAGAACAUCCUUGCUGCCGUGAAGAUGGGUUACCCCGCAGCUAGCCGCAAUCUAGUUGGCGGGCGAGGCAGAAGGGUGAACAGUGGGGAAAAAGAGCCUCCCAAUUUAGUUACCACUAAGGUACUCACCCACGUGUGAACCCCAGGCCGAAAAGGGGGUAACAAGGGAAAUAAGACAAAAAGAAUUUACAAACAACAAAUUAGUUUCAGCCAUAAGCAACCCACAACUCUAAAGGUAUGUGUAAUGGGAAUAUUUUUAGGAUUUAUUAUAAAACCAAUAGCAGCUGACCAUGAACCUUUUAAGUGGACCUUAAGUAGAUGGGAAAGUCAUGAUACAAAGCAUGAGCUCCAGUCUGUCAUCUCCUCUGAAGCCCCAAGUUUUACAGCAGGAGUUUGUAAUUUAACUAAAGUACAGCACUGUGGUCCCCUAAAUCAUACAAGCUUUUAUAUGUGCCCUGCCUCAAAUCCCGGGAGGUCCUAUUGUAAUUAUCCGGGAGAAUAUUAUUGUGGAUAUUGGGGUUGUAAGACCAUUGCAUUUGGAUAGAAACCGGGAGCUGGGCCUGACAAAUUUCUUAAAGUAAAGUUGGAGUCCUAAAGGUUGUAAAACCCCAUGGUCAUGGGAUUCUGGCUGGUGUAAUUCCCCCAGUUGUCGAGGAAAUUGUACAUUUAUAUUUUUAAAUGCUUCUCAACCAGAAGACGCAGGAUGGCUGAUAGGCCGGACGUGGGGAAUUAGGCACUGGAAAGAUGGGCGUGAUUUCGGAAAUUUGAUCCAGAUAAAAAAGGAACCUAUACCAUAUGAUUUGGAGCCGAUAGGGCCAAAUCCAGUUAUAGGGGGUGAGAGUACAGAAAAUCAGACUAAAAUCUUAGUUCCAGGGAAAAAUGAGACAGAAAAUGAGACAGAAGUUGAAAUUGAAAACUAUCAAUCCUUUAGAGGAUACAAUGCGCUGUAGAAAACAUUACAAGCUACCGUCACGGUAUUAAACCAUACGUACCCGAAUUUGACAGAGGGGUGCUGGCUAUGUUAUAUGAUGAGACCUCCCCUAUAUGAGGCCUUGGGCUCCACAGCAAAAUCUAAACGAAUCAAUGGAACAAACCCCAGGGAAUGUUUAUGGAAAAAAGGAAGAGAGGACACCCCCGGAUUAUCACUGACUCAAGUGAUAGGGAAGGGAAGGUGCGUAGGAAAUGUACCCCCAGAAAAAGACCAUCUCUGUCAAGUAAGAAUGUCUAUUCAUGACAUCCGGAAACCUGCUCAAUAGCUUAUUCCUGCAGCAAAUGCUAAAUGGAUCUGCAACAAUUUAGGAAUUACUCCCUGUUUAAGCAUCCAACACUUUAAUGAAACAUCAGAAUACUGUGUUCAGGUUCUUAUUAUCCCUCGUAUAUCAUAUCACACGAGGGACUACGUACCGAAACACCAAAUUACCCCUGAACAUCACCUAGCAAAAAGGAAACCCUUUACAGCACUUACAGUAGCAGUAUUAUUAAGUGUUGGGGGAGUUGGGAUUGGUACUGGAGCAGCUUCAUUAAUACAACAACAGCAAAAGAUGAGAGCUUUAAGGGUAUCAGUAGAUGAAGACUUGAACAGAAUGGAAAAGGCAAUUGAUGGCUUAGUAAAAUCAUUAAGGUCUUUAUCUGAAGUAGUGCUGCAGAAUCGCAGAAAGUUAGACUUAUUAUUAUUGCAACAAGGAGGAUUAUGUGUGGCUUUAAGGGAAGAAUGUUGCACAUAUGCAGACCAUACCGGCAUAGUUAUAGACACCAUGGCUGAACUUCGAAAGCAGCUGGAACAACGGAAGAAGGAACGAGAGACUCAGCAAAGUUGGUAUGAGUCAUGGUUUAAUCAUUCUCCCUGGUUAACUACCUUGUUGUCUACCAUAGCAAGACCCUUGAUAUUGUUUAUUUUGACCCUGACGUUUGGAGCAUGUAUUUUUAAUAAGCUCAUUAACAUAGUUAAGGGAAGAUUGGAAGCCGCUCAUUUAAUGCUAAUUAGAGCUAAAUAUGAACCCCUGUCUGGAAUAGAGACAGAAAAGCAUUUGGAACUUAGUAGAAGGGAAUUAGCUAGAUUUAAUGAACAAAAAGAGUAAAAAGGAAAAGGGGGGAUUGUGAUAAGAAACAGAAGUCCCUUUUUGUUCACUGUCCGUAUAAGGUUAAGAACAAUGUAAAUCAGUAACUGCAGCUGUGUUUAAAGACGUAAGUGAAACUAGUUAUAAAGAACAAAUAGUGUUGCAAUCAAUACUUAUAAGGUUGCGUAAGAACUUUUUGCAGCCCAAGUCAAGAAGAAGACACUGAGGAAGACUCGCGAGGGCCUUCAUCAACGACCACCAGAAGGUAGAAAACGAACCCCUAUCAACUGCCGGAGCACGCGCGAUAAGCACCAAGAGGAUGACUCAAGAAGAAGAGCGGGUGCUUCAAAAGAGAACUGAAAACCGUGGUCGGCGCGGCAGUUGGUGGAGCGGUGACUCCCCUGUCGCCCAGCGCUGCAUUUUGCUUUUCUUUCCAAUAAAUUGCUAUUUUAAUUGGCUAAAAUGGCCCGUUGUGCUCAUUGAUAACAAUUUGGUGCCGUGACUCGGAUCGGUGAUAGGGGUGAUUUUCUACCCGUGAGGGGGGCGCCCCACCAUUUUGGUGGCCCUCGGGGUUAGGAGGUCGCCCUACUCCCGACCGACGAACCUAAAAUUAAGGAAAGGAAAGCAAAGGGAAUUGAGGGCCCAGGGAACCCCUUAAAAGCUUUGUGCACAAGGUCCGGACGAAGACGCAGGACGCGUGCAGCCGGGAGAUUGGGUCCUGGUCCGGAGCUGGAAAGAGAACCCGUUAACCCCGAAGUGGGAGAGACCGUAUUUAGUACUACUCACCACUGAUACGGCAGUACGAACAGCAGAGAAAGGAUGGACUCAUGCUAGUCGAAUAAAAGGACCCAUAAAUCCAUCAGAAUUCUCCAAAAACAAGGAUCCUCAGUGGAAUAUCAAAGGAACACCUGGAGAUUUGAAGUUUACUUUAACAAGGACUUUAUCCUAAAUGGACGCUGGGGACAUUUGGGUAGGGGAUAAUUGAGUGUUGCAGAAAGAACUGAUUGGAACUUCAGAACCACCUGGAUAUUGUGAAUAUUUAGAAAAACUUACCCAACAACCCUACUAUCGAGAAAUAAGAUUAAUAAAUAAAGAUAAGUUAUAUAAUGGGGAAGAAAAUGUUGAUCACAAUAAUAUAAGAAUAGUUUGUAGUUGGUUAGAUUGUAAUUGUUAUCCAUUUAUAUGUUUUUGUUGUAAAAUCUGUAAAGAGUUGUGGUGGGUUCAUUGCCGAAGAGGGCGGGCUCCUAGAAGUGUGUGUCAACCCUGUUGGGGGGAACAGCGCGAGCUGACUGCCCUGGCCCUAAGUCAGAAAGUAGCAGCUCGAGAGCUUAAAGUGGGAUCCCCAUCCUGGUGGCAAAUAUUUUCUAAAGGUAUAAACCCCGAACUUUGUUGUUAUCACUCUAACGAGCCUGUGGGACCGUAUAACACGGAUAUUGUGAAGGCGGAGUGCCGAAAACAAGUAAAAGGAUUGAGGUGUGACACCCCACCAGUAAAGGACAAAAAUUGGCAUGCCACAAGAAGAAAGUGGAGGAGGGGAGCAAGCUCUACCCCUGAAGAACAUCCUUGCUGCCGUGAAGAUGGGUUACCCCGCAGCUAGCCGCAAUCUAGUUGGGGGGCGAGGCAGAAGGGUGAACAGUGGGGAAAAAGAGCCUCCCAAUUUAGUUACCACUAAGGUACUCACCCACGUGUGAACCCCAGGCCGAAAAGAGGGUAACAAGGGAAAUAAAACAAAAAGAAUUUACAAACAACAAAUUAGUUUCGGCCAUAAGCAACCCACAACUCUAAAGGUAUGUGUAAUGGGAAUAUUUUUAGGAUUUAUUAUAAAACCAAUAGCAGCUGACCAUGAACCUUUUAAGUGGACCUUAAGUAGAUGGGAAAGUCAUGAUACAAAGCAUGAGCUCCAGUCUGUCAUCUCCUCUGAAGCCCCAAGUUUUACAGCAGGAGUUUGUAAUUUAACUAAAGUACAACAUUGUGGUCCCUUAAAUCAUACAAGCUUUUAUAUGUGCCCUGCCUCAAAUCCCGGGAGGUCCUAUUGUAAUUAUCCGGGAGAAUAUUAUUGUGGAUAUUGGGGUUGUAAGACCAUUGCAUUUGGAUAGAAACCGGGAGCUGGGCCUGACAAAUUUCUUAAAGUAAAGUUGGAGUCCUAAAGGUUGUAAAACCCCAUGGUCAUGGGAUUCUGGCUGGUGUAAUUCCCCCAGUUGUCGAGGAAAUUGUACAUUUAUAUUUUUAAAUGCUUCUCAACCAGAAGACGCAGGAUGGCUGAUAGGCCGGACGUGGGGAAUUAGGCACUGGAAAGAUGGGCGUGAUUUCGGAAAUUUGAUCCAGAUAAAAAAGGAACCUAUACCAUAUGAUUUGGAGCCGAUAGGGCCAAAUCCAGUUAUAGGGGGUGAGAGUACAGAAAAUCAGACUAAAAUCUUAGUUCCAGGGAAAAAUGAGACAGAAAAUGAGACAGAAGUUGAAAUUGAAAACUAUCAAUCCUUUAGAGGAUACAAUGCGCUGUGGAAAACAUUACAAGCUACCGUCACGGUAUUAAACCAUACGUACCCGAAUUUGACAGAGGGGUGCUGGCUAUGUUAUAUGAUGAGACCUCCCCUAUAUGAGGCCUUGGGCUCCACAGCAAAAUCUAAACGAAUCAAUGGAACAAACCCCAGGGAAUGUUUAUGGAAAAAAGGAAGAGAGGACACCCCCGGAUUAUCACUGACUCAAGUGAUAGGGAAGGGAAGGUGCGUAGGAAAUGUACCCCCAGAAAAAGACCAUCUCUGUCAAGUAAGAAUGUCUAUUCAUGAUAUCCGGAAACCUGCUCAAUAGCUUAUUCCUGCAGCAAAUGCUAAAUGGAUCUGCAACAAUUUAGGAAUUACUCCCUGUUUAAGCAUCCAACACUUUAAUGAAACAUCAGAAUACUGUGUUCAGGUUCUUAUUAUCCCUCGUAUAUCAUAUCACACGAGGGACUACGUACCGAAACACCAAAUUACCCCUGAACAUCACCUAGCAAAAAGGAAACCCUUUACAGCACUUACAGUAGCAGUAUUAUUAAGUGUUGGGGGAGUUGGGAUUGGUACUGGAGCAGCUUCAUUAAUACAACAACAGCAAGGGAUGAGAGCUUUAAGGGUAUCAGUAGAUGAAGACUUGAACAGAAUGGAAAAGGCAAUUGAUGGCUUAGUAAAAUCAUUAAGGUCUUUAUCUGAAGUAGUGCUGCAGAAUCGCAGAAAGUUAGACUUAUUAUUAUUGCAACAAGGAGGAUUAUGUGUGGCUUUAAGGGAAGAAUGUUGCACAUAUGCAGACCAUACCGGCAUAGUUAUAGACACCAUGGCUGAACUUCGAAAGCAGCUGGAACAACGGAAGAAGGAACGAGAGACUCAGCAAAGUUGGUAUGAGUCAUGGUUUAAUCAUUCUCCCUGGUUAACUACCUUGUUGUCUACCAUAGCAAGACCCUUGAUAUUGUUUAUUUUGACCCUGACGUUUGGAGCAUGUAUUUUUAAUAAGCUCAUUAACAUAGUUAAGGGAA
Cinclus cinclus is the source of this 7164-nucleotide long non-coding RNA. RefSeq lists it as uncharacterized. The record is from RefSeq and is a predicted model, not a curated record. The transcript has 3 exons. NCBI's taxonomy places the organism in Eukaryota, Metazoa, Chordata, Aves, Passeriformes, Cinclidae.